UACGAAGGGGGCGAGCGUUGUUCGGAUUUACUGGGCGUAAAGGGCGCGUAGGCGGCCCUCCUUGUCGCGUGUGAAAGCCCCGGGCUCAACCUGGGAAUUGCAUUUGAGACUGCGUAGCUAGGGUGCGGAAGAGGGAAGCGGAAUUUCCGGUGUAGCGGUGAAAUGCGUAGAUAUCGGGAGGAACACCUGAGGCGAAGGCGGGCUACUGGGCCGAUACUGACGCUGAUGCGCGAAAGCCAGGGGGGCGAACGGG
Molecule: ribosomal RNA, 253 nt
Filed under: uncultured bacterium
Lineage: Bacteria
Description: partial 16S ribosomal RNA
Rfam family: Bacterial small subunit ribosomal RNA
Source: RNAcentral